This 500-nucleotide ribosomal RNA is filed under the name uncultured bacterium. Its description in RNAcentral is "partial 16S ribosomal RNA". It matches the Rfam family "Bacterial small subunit ribosomal RNA", at positions 30 to 523 of the family's 1533-position model. The record is from RNAcentral.
AUUGAACGCUGGAGGCAUGCUUUACACAUGCAAGUCGAACGGUAACAGGGUGCUUGCACCGCUGACGAGUGGUGAACGGGUGAGUAAUGCGUCGGAACGUGCCGAGUAGUGGGGGAUAACGCAGCGAAAGUUGUGCUAAUACCGCAUACGUACUGAGAUAGAAAGUGGGGGACCUUCGGGCCUCACGCUAUUCGAGCGGCCGACGUCUGAUUAGCUAGUAGGUGAGGUAAAGGCUCACCUAGGCGACGAUCAGUAGCGGGUCUGAGAGGAUGAUCCGCCACACUGGGACUGAGACACGGCCCAGACUCCUACGGGAGGCAGCAGUGGGGAAUUUUGGACAAUGGGCGAAAGCCUGAUCCAGCCACGCCGCGUGUCUGAAGAAGGCCUUCGGGUUGUAAAGGACUUUUGUCAGGGAGGAAAUCCCUAGUGCUAAUAACACUGGGGGAUGACAGUACCUGAAGAAUAAGCACCGGCUAACUACGUGCCAGCCGCCGCCGUAA